GACGAACGCUGGCGGCGUGCCUAAUACAUGCAAGUAGAACGCUGAAGGAGGAGCUUGCUUCUCUGGAUGAGUUGCGAACGGGUGAGUAACGCGUAGGUAACCUGCCUGGUAGCGGGGGAUAACUAUUGGAAACGAUAGCUAAUACCGCAUAAUAGUAGAUGUUGCAUGACAUUUGCUUAAAAGGUGCAAUUGCAUCACUACCAGAUGGACCUGCGUUGUAUUAGCUAGUUGGUGGGGUAACGGCUCACCAAGGCGACGAUACAUCGCCGACCUGAGAGGGGGAUCGGCCACACUGGGACUGAGACACGGCCCAGACUCCUACGGGAGGCAGCAGUAGGGGAUCUUCGGCAAUGGACGGAAGUCUGACCGAGCAACGCCGCGUGAGUGAAGAAGGUUUUCGGGUCGUAAAGCUCUGUUGUAAGAGAAGAACGAGUGUGGGAGUGGAAAGUUCACACUGUGACGGUAUCUUGCCAGAAAGGGACGGCUAACUACGUG
This 495-nucleotide ribosomal RNA is filed under the name uncultured bacterium. RNAcentral describes it as "partial 16S ribosomal RNA". It matches the Rfam family "Bacterial small subunit ribosomal RNA", at positions 28 to 507 of the family's 1533-position model. The record is from RNAcentral.